GACGACGACGUUGAUAGGCCGGGGGUGUAAGCGCAGCGAUGCGUUGAGCUAACCGGUAAUAAUGAACCGUGAGGCUUAACCUUACAACGCCGAAGGUGUUU
RNAcentral lists this ribosomal RNA (101 nucleotides) under Escherichia coli O174:H8 str. 04-3038. RNAcentral's name for it is "partial 23S ribosomal RNA". The stretch from base 1 to 83 matches the Rfam family "Bacterial large subunit ribosomal RNA", at positions 2843 to 2925 of the family's 2925-position model. The record is from RNAcentral. Lineage: Bacteria; Pseudomonadati; Pseudomonadota; Gammaproteobacteria; Enterobacterales; Enterobacteriaceae.